Molecule: long non-coding RNA, 23317 nt
Filed under: Xyrichtys novacula (pearly razorfish)
Lineage: Eukaryota; Metazoa; Chordata; Actinopteri; Labriformes; Labridae
Source: RNAcentral
CGAAGACCUGGCAUUGUGAACAUCGGUAAUAUAUGUGUGCCUGGGAUACAAACGCAGCAGGUAUUUAUUAUGUGUUACAGGAAAAGAAGCGCUUUUCUCUGGAUCUCUCUCCUUGCUGCCUGUGCUGAAGGUUAGUUUCUAAAUCUGGCUGUCUUCUGGAUUUGUUUGUGUUUUUAUUUGCCGCUGAACAGAAAUAAUGUUUUCCCCAGAAUGUGAGCUCCAUCUUAAACAGGUUUUUCCCUUCCAGUAUUCACCUUAUGCAUUCUGCAUAACAAUUCUUUCAAAGAUCCUCUCCUUUGGGGAAAUAUUCUUGGAAUUUAUGCUUAUAAGAUUUUACACAGUGUAUGGACUGAAUAACAUUUUGUUUCAUUCGGUGCCAGCUUGACAAACCUACUUCAAUACACAUGAAUUAUAAUAAGCACCAUCUCUCAAGUAGUAUAAUUUAAAUGAAUUGUCUUGAGGCCGACUGAAAUCAGGUCAGAAAUUCCUUUUUGAAUGUACAGCUUGGUUAAGUGUUGAGAAGAAUCACUAAAUUAGGAUAUUAGACAGGAAAUGGAUCCAGCCUGAAGUGAUAAACCAGAAAUUUCUUAUUGCAAAUUACACCAAUAGUAUCAAACUUAAUUCCUUGAACAUUUUUUGGAAACAAAAUAAUAUUACCUGCUGGCAGAGAUUUCUCAUAACUUCAUGUCUAAUUGUAAUAAAAUCACAGGCAGCUGGUCAAAGUGAGAAUGCCUCGGCGAUGCCACUUUCCUAUUUUGUCCACUGGCUUACUCUCCAUAAAAGCCCAAAUAUGUACUUGAAAAUAGUUUUUGAAUCUGUGUUAAAGUUUAAGACUGGGGUCAUACCACUACCAACAAAAUGCAGAAAGUAAACUCAGAUACAAGGAAUGCCGUCCACGUAGAGAUCUUUGCAAGGGAAGCUGAGAGUUGAAGAGCUUGGACCUGAUUAGCUAGGUAUUAAAAUAAACAGCAUUGCAACCAUAGAGGACAAAACUACACUAGUCAUUGACCUCAAUCAGCUGUGGCUGACGACAUGUAUUGAUGCUAAUGCUUUAUUUAGUUUCAAAAAUCAGGAUCAGCGCCAGUUUAUGACUGUUUUAAGGCAAGCCAGAUCAAAACAUGAACAAGUUAAAUUAUGUCUAUUUAAGCUGUUGUUUUUUAUUUAGCAAACACAAAUGCCUUUGUCCUCUUCGAUCUAAUUUGGACAACUGCGAAUAUCAGCCAUUACAUCUUUAACAGACCGGGUCCAUCUUGGGUUUUGUAAAUGCACUGCCACUGAUUUACAUUAUAGACUGUUUAAAACAUGCUCAAAAUCUCAGUAAGUCAUACCUGUUGGUCUAUGGUUCAACCAUAGACUGUAUAUAGAAUGGACAGCGUCUGUCUCCAUGCUGGGUGAAGCCACUCCGAGAACAGCACCCUCUGUUGAUGGGCUGCAGUAUAGGUCAUCAAUCCUGCCUCCGCCAGCAAAGCUUGUGGGACUGUGGACAAACUUUAGAAAUUUAUUAAACAGAACAUAAAUUUUUCUCCCCCCUGGUUGCGGUGUUGACAUGUAGUUACAGGUUUGUGCUCAAGUCCUCUUUUUCUGUAAAGCUCCAUUUUUAAAAUUUGUUAGGGGGUUCAUGUUUUCUAUGAUUGACACCUGAUACAGCCUAUUGGCGUUAAGGGAUUGCGUAGCUCACCCGGGGGAUACGCUGUCUGAGCCGAGUGUUAUCACAGCGUCUCUCUGCGACUGUGCGCCUGAAUGCGCGCAUCGCUACUGCGCAGCGCUGGUUUCAGGAAAUGAACAAAAAUCCCUGAAAUACCGAGAGCUAUUUGGCUUCAAAUCUGUAUACAGGCGGUAGGCGGAACCAAGUUGUCCAUAGUAUAUGCAGUCUAUGGUUUCAACCCUCACCUGUGGUCAUGAGCUGUAGGUAGUAACCUAAAGAGUGAGAAUGUGGAACAGGCUGCUGAAAUGAGCUUCCUCUAAAAGGUGGCUGGCCUCAGCCUUAGAGACAGGACCCAAAGCACAGAGUACAACUGUGCUCCCUUGCACUGAACGGAGCCAGUCAAGGUGAUAAGGAUGCCUCCCUGGUGCCUCCAACUGGUGGUCUUCCAGGCACGCCCAACUGGGAGGAGAGACCCAGAAAUAUAUGUCCUGUCUGGCAUAGGAAUGCCCUGAAUUACACCAGGAUGAAAUAGGAAGCAUUGCUGGGGAGAGUGUUGUCUAGGGCAACUUGCUUUGCCUGUUACCAUUACGACCUGGCUCCGAUGUCACCCACUGGGCUGUGAUGAGGUGUUUUCAAGCCCUGGCAUCAUAUCUGCCAUUUUGGAAAUACUGGCUCCCUCAACUAACUCCCUGGCAAACCAUUACAGCAUGCCCCUCUGUCAGUCAAAGCUGCAUAACUCUCAGCUUUAAUAUGAUCACAGCAGAUGAGCUAUUAGGAGAAAUAAAAUCUGCUGUAAACUUGGCUAUUAUUCGGGCUCCAAUGGGGUCUUCUUGGCCUCAAGUGAAUACUCAAGGCACUGCAGGUCUUUAUACUUGCACAGUGGCUUCAUUUUUCAACAUUAAAGGUAUCCGCUUAAUUAAAACAUACUCUCAAAUCACAACAAAGUGUCAAAAAAAACAAAACACACAAGUGGGAAGAAUACCCCGAGGCUGAUUGGCUUCAUCACAGGACGUCUGCUGCUGUCAUUUAAACCAUGACAAGAGAAUUGAGUGAAAAUAUCAAAACAAGAAGUGUUUCAGUGGAAAAAUCAAACUUUAGACUGAUGAUCAGAAAUCUAAGAGGACAGACAUCACUCCAUAAAAUAAGCUGGAUGUCAAAUGCCGCUAAUUAAGUUUUGUGAUGACUUUGUACUGAUGCACUUUCUUCUUCACUUCGAUUUAAAAAAAAAUGUUUACGGCCUUUAAUGCUGCCAGGAUGCCAGCAGAUACACCUUUGUGCCGUUAAUCCUCUAAAUAAAUGUUUCUUUAAAAGCAGCAGAUCAAUUGGAGAUUGCUUUGUAUCACAUUUCAAUGAAGCCAGCAGAGUUAGAGGAGAAUGAGAGUGUUAGGAUGUUUGAUGGCAUUGCUCCAGUAGAGGACUUUCAAACAGACUGGGAGCUGGCUUGGGAUGCGGAGACGAUGCCAGCAACUUGAUGUACGUUGGUGAUGCAGCUGGUCUUUCUGCGUUUUGCUCUGUGCAGCAGAAAUUUUGAAAAGGGGAAAAAGAGAAGCAAACUUUUCAGCUUUCAUAUUUCACUUGUUGUGGAAAGCCUGGAAAACAUAUAAAGUUGUUGUGAGGAACUUACAUUUCAUGUCUAUUCAGACGUUUUCUGACCCGUUGUGGGAUUUUUUUGUGAACUAGCUCUUCAAUUUCAGCAAUGACGGGCAUCAAAAAUCAGAAAUAAUCACCUCUGUUGGUGCUUUUUGCCCGCAUCAGUUUUAUUUUCAGUCUUCAAACCAUCCUACAGAUUCCUCAUAGGAGCUUUGAUUAUGAAUGAGUAUGAAUAAAUUAGUUCAAACUGAUGGUUCCCUACUACAGCAUCCAUCAGCCAUCAGGGUACGAAUGUGACGUGUGCUUUAAAAGCACUUUGAGAGGUUGUUAGAAAAGAAAAGUGCAAUACUAUAUAAGCAUGAGUCCAUUUACCAUCAAGAUUGUGUCAUCAAAUAUUAACUUAAAUCAUAAGAGUUUUAAAGCUCCUGUGAGGAACCUUCAACUUGUGACAGUUUUGGCGCCCCCUGUGGACAAAGAAGUUUAUCUUGUCCUCUACAUGCUUGAACAAUAUCUCCUAUCGAACUAUCAUAUCCUGCUGACUUUUGACUUUCAAAUGUUUUAUUUAUUGUGACUGCUUUAUGCAAACAUUGGGCUGUUUCUCCAGCUGCUCAGCUCACAUCAGUGGUCUUGUUUGCAUCUGGAUAUGAAAGAAAAGCAUCAAUAUGAGUUUCAAGCUUCUUCAUGAAUGUCCAAAAACUCCUCACAGGAGCUUUAAUAAAUAUAAUUCCCUCUUUUUCCUUGUUUUUGGGUUGACUUUUUAAAACAGUGAGGCUCACAGGGCUCGAGCUGUGCUUGUCUUCUCUUUGUUAGAUUCAUGCAGGUAGAGUUAAGGGCAGGAAAACUGUUAUGAGCAAUAAAUUCCAGAUGAAAUAAGCACACCGGUGUAAGUAAUUGAUUGGGUGUAGUUCACCCUCUGAAAGGGCACCCUUGAACUGUCAUUCUUAGCCUCUUUCCAAGCAAUAAUAGCUGCAAUUCAUGCGCUACAAAAAUAAUAGUGUUGUUAGCUUCCAACCGUGAAUUCAUGCCCCUUUUGGUGAGAUAAGUUCAAAUGUUAAUACCAAGAAAUAACCGGCUGAAAACUCACAUAUUAAUGUGCGUAUUGAGGUUUGGAAAGCAGAUAGAACUGGGGGGCCCUUCCUUAAAAAUGCCUCCUGAAAAUGUUAAUGGCUGACAGAGCUCCUGAAAGUAUUGCCAGCUUUAAAGAUUGAUAAGCAGAUUGUCUCUCCAAUUUAUUACCCAACCUCCUCAUUCAGUCAAAGCCCUGCCUUUUAUUCAAGCUUUAUCAGGUCUGAGAAAAAGACACAGACUACCUACUUGAUUUUAAGGUGGCCCUGAGAUGAGGUCGAUUGAUUAUAAUGAUCUGUAAUUGACAUUACCUUUAAUAAUGUUGUUUAUUUGGGUAAAUGCGACUCCCUGAAACACAUGACUCACUGCAAGAAGGCAAAACAUCUCAGGUUUUAUUGGGCUUGGUUGUAAUGGCUUCUCCAGCCCUCACCGAUCACAGUGAUUUAACCAUCAGGGUGUCUUUUGAAAGCGUUUUAACCCUCCAAACUAAUGACAGAAUGAGCUCUCAGACUCAGCCUCCAUCUUAUGAAAUACACAGACAGCAUACUCCCACUCGCUCAGCUCUCAGAGCCUGUGUUCUGCAGAAAAUAUCUCCUGACCCAUGCUGCCAGCUUGAACUGCUCCCAUUGGGUUUCUGUCUUUGGCGUACCGAGCGGACAACAGCUAGACACGGAGCCUGCUUCCCGCCUCGGGCCAUCUACUUACCAAACUAAACAGGACAACAAAAGCUCAUGCAUGGAGCUGCUUUGCCUGCCUACGAGAAGCAGCUGAAUAAAUGCACUUGUACUUACGACCCAGGAUUAUGGAUGAUUGUCGUCAGCGUUGAAGAGCUCUCUGUCCUCAAACAACUACUCAGAUAGGAUGUAAACAAAUCUAACAUGCAUUGAGUCUCACUGAAGCUAACAGACCUGCUCUGAUGUGAACCUGAAAUGAUCUGAGCUAUAACUGGUGUUGAAAAUUGCUGAAAUGCUAAAUAAGGUGUUGAACUGUGGUGUGAACACAAGCAAUUAAGAGCUUCACCUCAUCUUACCUGGUGGAAACACAGGCUGUUUGUGGCUGAGUUAUUCGGCUGCAGAAAUAAAAACAGCAGCACAAGUAUCUCUGACAGACUGCUGAUGUGCUGCAGCUCUUGGCACAGACAUACUUGUACUUCCUAUGUGGUCUGUGGCCAAACAAACAAACAAACAAACAAACAUAUACCUGGUAAUAUUUUUAGCUUCAGUGUCUGGAUGUCUCUGGGGAUGGUAAUCUGGGUCAGUCAGUCCAUUUAUUUCAUCCCUACUGAAGCUGAACUAUUGAUGAAUUGCCAAGAAAUUUGGUACAGUGAUUCAUGCACCAACCCCCUGAUUUUUCAUCAAAUGUCAUGUGCAGGUCAGGGUUUUAAGAGAGCCAAUCAAAUCUCUUACAACCCCCAUGACAGUGUAGCCUUCAUUUUUAUUUUUCUACUCUCAUUCAGCUUUCAAUUUACAAAGGUUAUAAAAAACAAAUUGUAUUUUUGUUCAAUUUCAAUGUUUGACAAUCCUAUUAUCUACUCAGGGAGGUCUUUUUAACAGAGGAUAUCAUCCAUGUACUUUUGGAGGUUUUGGUGGAACAAGUCGGUGGUAGUGCUAAAAAGUUAAUGAAAGUAGGACAAGUUGGUUCAUGUUGGUUGGUAACUUCUUUGGUUGGAUAAAGGGCCAAUGAAAUACUGAGGAUAAAGUUGUAGCCCAAUCAAGCUCUCCCCUGGCCCCAGCUCUAAUCGGUGAACAACCAUCCAUUUUCAUACCUCACCCGGCAACCUUUGUGCUGAUCGGUUAUCGCAACGUGAAUAUCAGCUCAAGUUGAGACAUUUUCAGCUCCCGCCCGAUUCGCAUCAUUCGCGCUGCCAGAGUUGUAGGAGCGUCUAAUCAUGUCUUUGCAUUUACUUAGCAUAUAAUUUAUUCGCGCAAAUGAUUUCACUCACGCUUGGUGUUUGGAGACAGUAAGACAUGCAAAAAGUACCUGGCAGGGCUGUGUUGUGAUUGGACAAUGCUUGGUUACUAUCUUGGUUACUAUCACCCUAUGCAUUGCCUCCAGCACUGUAACAUUUGCUGCCCCUCUCCUACCUCAAACCUUCUACCAUCUGGGUGUUAAGCAUUAGCAUUUUCAUUUUGAUGAGCUGGACAUUGGCCCUUUAUCCAAUUGUUUGUUGGCCAAAAGCAUGAGUCCCAUCAACCUGCCUUCCUCUGAUGAGCCAGUGUAGUAUACCAAGGCCGGACUAACUCUAUAAAGGGAAAAAUGGGGGAAAAAAAGCAUGUGCUCUGCAACCUCUUCGGCCAAUCAAGGCUCCUGUGAGGAACUUGUGCCAAUUUUGGGCCCCCUGCAGACACAGCAGUACCUCUUAACUCUUUGCUUGCCCUGUCCUGGUCAUGCAUCGGUGGAUUUUUCUGACUAAAAUCUCAUUUUGCUUUCUUUUUAACGAUCACACAUCACUCAUUAAAAAGGUGCAUAAUACUAAUCUCUAAGUUUGACAACUCUUUGGCAGCUGUUGUAGAUAUUAAAAAAGUAAGAAAAGAAGUCAGUCCUGUCAACUUGAGUCUAGUUUGCUGCUGCAGGUCAUGAAGACCUCUCAACAUCAAUUUCAGUCUGUUUUACAGCCAGUUAAAAACGGGAGUGUUUAACAAUCCCAGUUAGCCUUACAUCAAACCUGUUUUGUAAAAGGAACACCAGACUACCUCCAAACCUUCUGUGUCAGGACUUUUCUUUUUUGUCUGUCCCUGUUAUUUGGGCUGUUGAUUUGAUCUCCCUGCUCUCUUACAUGUGUCCAAUAAAAGGUGCAGGUUUGUGGCAAAACACCUCUGCAUUAGUAGCUCAGAACAACACGUUAUUUGACCUCUGUCGUCUUACACCCCGCUUGCUGUGACACCACGCGGUUUAAAGACACAACAUUUAAAAAAAACAGCCUGGUUUGCACAAAGGCAUAAUAACGAUGUGGUCUGUUUGCGACGAGGGGAAAGAGCAGGGGGCAUUUGAGGGGCAUGUCGCUGUGAUUUUAUUUUUAAAAGGCUCUUAUGAAGGUUUUGAACCAUUAAAACAAGACGCACUCUGAUUAGCUGUGUCAGGUGGGUGACCUGCCUCUGUGACUGCAAUUAAACCUGAUACCGGUUGAUACGAAAGCGCGCAUGCAAAUGAAUCCUGUUAACGCUCCACGACACAUGUAUGAACAAUUAUAAAAGAGGUACGGUUCAAGAAUUACACGUCAAAAGGUUCGACAUAUAAAAAGAUCAUAUAACAUAUUUGCAUAGUACAUAUUGAUAUGAGUCAGAAAUGUCACACAGCAUCUGAUUGAAGGAGGCUCACCUAGCGGCUGAUUAUUAUGAGGGCUGUAGCUCUGACUGGUUGAUAAAUAUGUGCAAGAAUUGGAACAAUGUGACCUUUUGCAGAUAGAAACGUCUCUCACAAGACAUUAUAAUUGGCCGCACUGAAUACCACGGGGAGAACAAUUAACGAUAACAAGCAAAUAUAUUCGUCCCUCAACAGUAAUGGAAUAGCGUGGAAAAUAAAUGGUUCAAAGCCGUGUCUGCAGGCUUUCACGGCAUGCACCGGAUCACAGUCCCUCUAUACAUUUACAGUACAUGUGCACACUUUGCUGAUUACAAGUCCUUCUCUUGAAACCGAUUAGACGCAUGGUGCGCUGCAGAGGUUAAGCAGAGCGCUGCACGUGCAGGAAAUGACAGUGUAAUUACGGAGAUGACUGCAGCAUGCCAGAGACCUGCCUUAGCUCAGUGUGCAGCUGACAACAAACAAGCUCAGCCCCUAAAUGCGAGUUGUCAUGCCUUUGCUGGCGAACCUGCAGCAUGCAACAUUACAAACAUACAGAUCACACUCGGGUGAUUUCACAGCAUCAUGAAGACAGAGAGGGACAUAAAAGCUGCUUUUUAACCCACCUCUGUCUUUGGAUCUGCUAUUUUGAUACAACAGGGAGAGAGCUUUGAAUGUUGUAUUAGAUGCUCCACAUUCAUACUGUGUAACAUUUAUAAGAGAAGAAUAAAACACUAUCAUUUUAAUUUAUAAAUGAGUUUUUGUCUGCUUACUUUUUUUCCUCCUGAGGAGUUGGUGGAGUCUGUGCAGCCCUGCUGCUGCAGUAUAGCUGUGCUUGAGGAGUCUGUUUUUUGUUGUCAGCAGGAUUUUCUUCACUCCUACAUAAUUCAUAACUCUGUCCUUCACUUUCAUAUAGUUCUACUUGAAUGCAAGUCAACCCCCUCCACACAGACACAAAAAUAGACUUUAGUUCAGAGCAUCCUUUUCCUGCUACGGUAAAAAAACCCUAAUACAACUUGAAAACUAAAAUCAUGGCAAAGUGCAACCCUGUGUAGAAUACAAUUGAGCUUAUAUAAGCAGAGCAGUGAAUGAGUGUAAAAGAGUGUACCAUUGUGAGAAUCAACUCGCAAACAUGGCUCCUCAGCAGUAUUCCUCUGUAUAAAGUCUUUUUUUUUGAAUAUCUGAUGGCGUGACAUGGACCUGGCUCCAGCUGCCUAAGUCUUUGUUUUAGCAUCUUUUAGAAAAAGCAAACCUGAGCUCAAACACAGACCUCCUAAUUUUUCUGAAAAUCCUCUUUUCUCCACUGAGUUGAAGAAAUUGUUAGACAGUGAGGAAUAUUUGCUCAUUAUCUUUCUUGUUGAGUGUUAGAUUAAAAGAUUAAUACCACUGUGGAGCAGUGGGAGCUGGUCAAUAGAGAGUGCUGCUCAACAAUCCCCACAAGAAGAAUGGCAGACCAGCACUAAAUGAGAUUUUUAAGAUUUAAUUUGAUUUAUACUAAAACAUCUUUUUUAUCAGGUAUCAGUCGGGAUAUCUUUUCAUAGGAGUUAAUUUAAAUCAAUAGCCUCUAAUAAAUCUAUAGAAAAUGUUAAAUGACACCAAGAGGAGAUCAUGCAGCAGUGUUUCAUCUAGUUACAAAUAAGCGGAAACCUCUUAUCUUUAGAAAUAAGGCCAAUGCAGAAGUGCCGGAAACUGCAGUUCCUCGAGUCCCCACUAGAGGCUGGCUGCAGAAGCACAGAGAACCGCAUAGACACCAAUUCAAGAAGACAACUUUUGAAAAAACAUAACACGUUUACUGCCUGGUUCAGAAAUUGCUGUUAGUCUGACUAGCUUAAGGGCUCCUAAGGUUACCUGCUGUAAAGGGAGUGAAUUUUUUCAUAACACAUCUUUUUUGUAGUUAUCAAGGUCACAAUGUUGGUGAAUCUGAGGCAUUGCUUGCUUAGCUAACUGGCGGGCGCACUGGAGCUGUUUGUGAGGAGACUAAAACCCCACCCCCUGGUAGGUCGACCAUAAGUUGUGGCAAGUUAGCCGAUAUGGUGGCGGACACCAAUACGCUUCAAAACUCCACUUCACUAACAAACCAGUGAGAUCACCACGCUACGUCUAUUUAUCGUACAGUCUAUGAUCACAAAGCAUAGCUAACCUGCUUUUCUUAUUUUUACAUGUUAGACACCUUAUUAACGUUAAUUAACACCUUUAAAAACAAGCUCAGUCACUCUGUGUUGAAAUUACCUAAUGCUUAUGCUAUAUUCAAAUCAUAUUAUCAGCCAAAAUUUGACAUCCUAUACCUAAAAUAACAUAUAUGUUGCAACACCUAAUGUGAUAUAUGGAUAUUUCAAAAUGUGGAUAGCCCCCUUGAAAAUAAAUGCAUGUAAAUAUGAAGUCACUAAGGUUGCUUAGCAUAAUUACUCUGGAGCAAUUAUAACAUUUUAUUUUUGAAUUAUUGUUUUUUGUAUAUAUUGGAAAAAUAAAAAGAAACUGGUGAGCAGAAAAUGCCACUGACAAUAUAGCAUCAGCCUUUUCAUUGCACCCAGUCUCCAUGCUAAAGCUAGCCAGCUUACACAAGAUGGACAGACAUAAAAGAAACAUCAGUCUUCUCAUCUAAUUUUUUGCAAAGGAGGAAAAUAAACAUAUUUUUAAGAACUAUUCCUAGAGGAACUGUGAUAUGGAGCAACACUCAAAGCGAGGCUGAGCUGAUAUGUUGUUGUUUCUGAUUGAGUCUGAAGCUCAACUUUAAAUAUUAAAUGUUGUAUACUUUUUUAGUAUGAUUUCAUAAUGCCGGACUCUUGCCACAGAUGACUUCCUGUAAUUUUUGAGUUAAAAACUGCUUUAGUAGCUGAAAAGUAGUUCAGUGUUUUGGCUGGAAAUGCACAGAGAAAUAAAACUUUAUACUUGCAUUUUUCAAAGAGAAUUUGGACGAGUUUUGAGAGGAUGUAAAAACAGGAUUACCCUGUUUUUCUGCGGAGCUCCUCAUAUUCCUCAUGAGAGCUAGAGUAAGAUCAGAGGUCGUGUCUGUGCGAAUGGGCUAACUCCAUCAUUCCACGCGACGUGUUUCCAGAAUAGGUCAAAUCAUGUUGCCAUUAAUAUUUCAAACAUGCUAAAUGGAAAAAGAUGUUCAUGUGGUCGCCGUGUCCAAAUAGCUGUCUCUUUUUCUAAUAAGACAAUAUAUUUGAGAGACAGUUUCCCACAUCAGAUCAGGAAGAUGGGCCCUAUCUAUUACUUGUUGAGCCAUUUAUCUUAGCGCCAUUGAUGAAUUCAUUACGCUGACAAUCCCUGUCCUUAUAAUGAAAUGCCGCCCAAAGAUUGGCCCCUGGUUGAAAUGGAGAGCAGAGAUAUGUACCCUAAUAAUUGUGAAAUUUCACUCGAAGGAAGAUCCAUCUUUCGUCUGUGGGCUCAUAUUACUCUGCCCGCUAUUGUGUCUGCCACAGCUGAAGGUCUCUUUGACAUCCAAAUGAGUUUAGAGCAUCUCCCUUCAGCAAACCUCCUCUUUUUAAUUGGGGCCUUUACAGGUUUUGACAAGGAUGGGAAACUUUGAUUAAAACUCAUUAUAGGGGGAAACUUGUAUCAUAAGUACCAAUUAAGAUUUUUAUUAAGUAUAUUAUAAGGUUAAAGCAGCUAUUAUCCUGUGAUACAUGGCUUUAGACGAACAGAACGCUUUCUUAAAUCAGCAGCUUGGGGAAACAUUGGACAGUCGCGGCGCCUAUGAUUUGCUUUUAUACAUAUUGUAAUUAAUCGAAAUAGAAUUUAAACACAAAGAAUAUAAAGUAAAGAAAGCCCCAAUGGUUUUGGAGUGCGAAACUGCUCUCAAGAAGCCAAUUCGAAAGAGAAAAUGUGCAAUCACAACAUCUCCUGCAAAAAGAAAUUCCACCACUCCAUCCACUUGGCACUUCAAUAUGUUCGGUUAAAAGGAAAAGCUGUUGACGGACUAACCACAGUGUCCCUCACAAGCUGUUGUCACUCUCGGCUGCCCAAUGCUGUAAAAGUUUUGAUGGGAUGUGUGUCAGUGGAUUAUCUCGCCUACAUCCCCCCCAGGCUUUCAGUGUAGGUCUGUGACACGGGCACAGGCAUUUAGUGCGACUCCCAAGUGUCACUGGCAGCACAGCAGGACCCCGCAAGGCUCCAGGAAACACCAUCUAUCAUUGUCAUAAGACCGAUCAUCCACAUCAGCAGAGCCUUUCUUUCGGCAGACACCGUGACACCCAUUAAGCCGUCUCCCUGACCCUGUUCUGGUAUAUAUUAUUUGGUUUUUAUCUUGUUUUUUCCCCCCUAUCUUGAAUUGGAGUAGAUACCCGUGCUUAGUUAGAACCAUGAUAAUCACCUUUUGAUGAAACUGGAUGGAGAAAGAAGAGCACAUUACCAAGUCAUAAUCGGUACAAUGAGGGUUUUCAGAAAUCUCUUUUUUAUGAGGUUAAACCGAUAAAUCCUUCAGACUUUUUUCUGCAAGGAUAUUUUUCUCUGAUCUGCAAACUUGAUCAGUUGAUUCUCUGUCAAGCCACGCAAUAUUUUCCAUGUCUACUACAGAUGUUGUUGGGGAAGCAUCCCACUCAGGGUUGUUUCCCCCUAUAGAUAGAUCAGGUAUAUCAUCAGUAUGAGUAACUUGGCUGUAAUAACAUACUUAGAUAGACUGUUUGGGGAUUAAGAAUAUGGUCAUCCUAGGUAAAUUGUUUUCAUCCACUAAGAGAGGACAUGACUACCUAGGAGCGGAGCCACGGAGGUAUGCGCUUCUAACUCCUUAAUUCCACACGACACAAGCUCAAAACUUCCAUUAAAAACCCCUGGACAUUUGAAGGAUUUUAUAAACUCCCUAAGACAAGGCCGGACAUCCCCCCCAAAAGAGGACAUAUCCAGCUGAAAGAGGACACAUGGUCACCCUAAACUUGCCUCCAUCUCCUCCGGCUGUAAACUUUUUUGUAACAACAUAGAAAUUAUUAGUCUUGUUGCUCAAGGUGUCUUUACUUUUGAAGGACAUUGAUAAGCAUCAGUAUCAGCUGAAGUCUGCUCCUCAUAUUGCCUUAAAAUAUGGAAAUGCCCAGACUGGUACAUAGAGUAUACUUAACCUUUUUCUCCUCUGAUGGAUUAGACUAAGUUUUCUAUUAUAAACCGUGUCCCAUCUGCUGACAUUGAGGAGGCUCGGUGACAUUUAAGUCACUUCUUUUACCAAAUACCGGCCCUGACACAACUUCAGAAUAAAAUCACUUUGCACAUGGCUCCCAGAAAAGAAACAUAUUUUCUUGAUUUCUGGCACAUGAGGAAGACAUGAGACUUGAGACACGCAUGCCAACAUGAACACCUAACUCUUCUGCAGCUGGUAAGCACCCUCAGUUUGGGAGCUUUGUAAAUUCAGCCACAGAAAUCUCACAGAUUAUACAGAAUGCAGAAUUAGCAGCUACACUAGCUCUCAGGUUUGGCUCCAUUUUGGGAUGAGUUUAGUAAAGCACAUGUUGCACCUAUGAACAAACAGAGACUCUGGUUUCUCCUCAGCAUCAUUAUAAUGUUUUGCAUUUUAAUAUUUCUGGUACAUUCUGUACAAGUUAUAGUGACUGAAAAGUGUGAUAAUGUUCUAUACUCCCACUCUCUGUUCUUUCAACUACAGUUUUCACGGAGGAAACAUCCCCACUUUCACUCUUGUGAUUCUUCCCCCGCAUUCUGCAGGGGCGUGACAUUCAGCCGUAACCUCAGAUCAGAGUUUAAGUUCAGUGGUAAUUGCCUGCCAGAUAUCAAGUUGGAUUCACUGUCAAGAUAAAAGUUGGGGUCAUCUGAAAACCGCAAAGGUUUGAUCACCCUACGCUGUUCCUCAGCAGAUAAGAAACUGUUUAGUAUGAUAAGAGUUCUUGGAAAUUAAUGUUUUUCAACAAUUGAGGGUUCCUGCUGUUAUGAACCCUGCGUGACCACAAUCACGACAGGAAAUCAAACUCUUAGGAAAGGAAGGGAGAGUUCAUUUCUGCAAAUGUAAUUUAUGGGCAGACAGGAGGACACUUCAGACGGCAUUUAUGAGAAAGAAGAGAGGACAGAGCUCUAUACAUUCAUUCUUAUUCCUUUUGAAAUUAUAGCGCUAUACUUUGAUUUGAUUUUAAUCAUAUUUUUCUUUCUUUCUUUCUUUUUGCAAUUCAAACAUGCAUUUAUGAAGUACCUCCCUUCCUUUGACAUACAAUAGCCUAGUAUUGUUGGUAGGAAUUAGCUUGAAUCCAAAGGCAAAGUUAAGAUGAUGGAUAUUGAUGUUUUUAACACAAAUAAUUUUGUUAUUAUCUGAAAAUUCAAAAGCAAAGUCUACUUUUGUGCUAUGCCCUUCACUGACAACACAUGUGCUCCAGCUCCGUCCGUUUCUUCCCCACUGGAAUCAUGCAGAGGCUUCAGUCAAACCUCUUUAGCUUGAAUCACAAUCUGAGAAACUUUGCAUGAGUUCAUUUCCUCCAUUUAAAAAAUAACAUUUUAAUUUAGUCCAUAACAUCAAAGUCAUAAGUUAAAUAUUGUUGACCUCUUCUCUCUUCUCUCAGGCAGCGGGCUGCAUACCGAUGUAGUCGCCCAGUGUCACACAUCUUACUUUGGAGGAGGCAGCAUUAGUAGUUUGGCAGUGGAGCGUUGUGUUUCUUUCAAAACUCUGCAAACUUUACUUUGAAACUGAGCUUGGAACCUGAUGACUGAAGAUAUGGAUGAGAUACAGAUUGUUUGUGGCACCAUCUUGCAUAGUGGCCAUUACUGCGGCUGCAACUCAACCUCACUAGACUGUGACAGUGUAUUUCAAGACCCACUCUGAUGAAAAUCAUGUUUUUCUUGUCUACAUGUUUAUAUGUGAAUUUUUCUAAUGCUACGGGACAUAUCAUGAGAAAAAUCAGAGCGAAAUUGGAUUUUUAAGUAUUUCUGCAGUCAAAUCACUGUGAAUCUCUGGCAGACCCAAACGGCAAGCUCAGAUACGGUGAGAUUUCCUACGUAGCAAAUCCAAGCUCCACCCUCGUAGGCCCGCUAUGAAGGUCACACUAGAAAAAGUAGAGAGGACAGUCGCGGAAUAAGCGUGAGCGUUAGCAGAUUGCAAUGCUCGUAAGAAAGCUAAGUAUGAUAUUAGCUUUCAUCAUUGACACCUUACGUCAGACAUUGGUGUCUGAGAUAAGGUGACCAGACGUCCCUGAUUUCCGGGGACAGUCCCCGUACUGGAUGACCUGUCCCCAGCUAAAGCAGUCCCUGGAAAUGUUUCUGAUUUAAGUGUUUCAUGAAUGAGAACAAAAAUGUUGCAUGUAGACUACAACAACGGUUAUUACUGUUGCCGAGUAAGUAGGAAGCACGAGUAAGCAUGUUGUGCACAGUUCUGAACAACAGUUUUUACUGGGGGUUAUUACGGGGGGCAUGCGCUGCUGUUAAGUAGUACAGAGAUGUGUCUGUGAUCCAGCAGCUGCUCUCCAGAAAUAGAGGGCCUGAAAUCAAAUUUUGCUUAGCAUUCCCCACCCCCUGGAUGUUCUCAGAUGUUCCUGGAUUUCAUUACAGAAAUCUGGUCACCUUAGUCUGAGAGCUGAAUAGCUCCUAUGUUACCUGCUACCUCUACUACAGCGGCAAUGUUAGGCUGCAAGCUAGUGUGAAGGCCAGUGUGCAGAGCAGCGCUGUCUCCGCCCAAGACUCAGAGGCGAACUGCUACUGAGCUACUGGAGCUCUGCAGAAUAAAGGUCCUUGAAAAUGACAAGUAACUUGAUUUUGGCUAAAAACUUCAUAAUAACAAUUUGAAGAUGACUGGGAACACUUGGGUAGUAAAAAAAAAACAGAUGGAGUGGGAUUUUCACCUAGGGUGACCAUACAUCCUCGUUAACCCGGACAUGUCCAUGAGUUUGUGUCGCAUGGAUCUACUGAGUGAGAAGCACGUAAAAUCACUCAAUCCGACCCAAAAGACUCUCAAAAUUAACUACGCAUGACUAUGUGACUCCGCCCCUUUGUAGUCGUGUCCUCUUUUUGGGGAUUCAGAGUAUGCUCUCCCUUUUUAACUGCAUCUACAAAUAACUGUAUUCAUUUGAUACUUUUUAAAAUUGUAUUCAUACUGUAUCUAUUUGCUGCAUGCGGUCCCAGCUUCCCAGUUCUAACCCAUGUUCGUCAUAUCAAUAAUUCCCUGUGUCUACCUGAACACAGAUGCAGAUGCAGAUAUGACGUCUUUGCACAGCCUUCAUGGAUAGAUACAGUAUGUUUCCAUACAUGAAGUGACAGCUGGCUCUAAUAACCUGCAGCUAAUCAGCUCAGUCUCGUGUAGAUUUGAUCCUCAUUUGAUUCAGCACACACUGAGCCACUCCUCUGCCUCUUUAUAUGAUAUGACUACAGAGUCAGAAUGAUAUUCUAAAUAAAUAACUACAAUUCUCACAGCACUAUAAAUUUUUAAGAUGUCUACUUCAGAGCCAGAGUGCGCUCUAGCCUCAGGUGUACACAUUUAUAAGAAGCACAUGUAGACAGACAAGCAGGGGCUUUAAAACAGAUGUUUAUUGGGAGGUUAUAAUCAUACUGAAGUUUUAAUUGCAGGUUGGGAAUAAGCUAAUAAUUAGAUUGUUUAAACCUAAUGUGCUGCAGCCGUCAAAGCAUUUUGCAGGUUGGAUAGUUGUUUAAGGAAAAAAAAUGCUCGUCUGGACAAAUUUCUGAGCUGUGUUCAAGUGAAAGAAUUCUCUCACAGCACUACCCAGUGAGCCAAGAAGUUAAUUUCAAGCAGCGCUGGCAGUACACAAAUGAAAUGUGCUUUAUUUUGGUCAGUUAAAAACUUUUCAUGAGCCUAUAUUCCUUGCAUGCUUGUAUUUCUCCUUGCACAGCCCAGAGCUCAACCAUGAAAUCCACCCACAAAACGUAAAAUUACUGGUCAAUCAAAAGUGCACAUCCCUGAUUUCAAUGCACUGACGCUUCUUACGAGACGUUCACAAGCCUCAUAGUACAUGCUGAGCUCUCUGCCCACACUGCUCCCUCGCUCCCGAAGCUUGUUAAUGCAGAUUCCAACAAGGAGAACCUUCGGCUUUUAUUCUCACGGCGCAGAUCAUGAAAUAGAACGGGAGCUCAUUCGCUUUGAUGGAGCCUGCAGCUUUGGCUUACCCGGUGAGAUAGAGCUUUGGCCUUUUCACCGUGCAAAGAUGAGCUCGGGCUGUACACAUCUGGAAUAAUCCACCUGCAACCUCUGGAGAGGAGGUUCAAUUCAGGGCACGCAGCCAGGGUUCAGCUGACCCGUUUCAAAACAGCUUACCAGCAGGAUCAUGCAUCAUUUUCUUUGGUUGUCCAAGCAGCAAAUGGACACAGUCAUCAUCUAUGUCAGGAACACAGCAUUAGAAUUUUGUUUUGCAAAUAAAGAUGGAUGCCAAAUAGUCCCCUAAUCCCAGGAUGUGAAUGUUUGUGGCAUGUGUGUGUUUUUCUCUGCUUCAUAGCGCACGUAUUUGUCAUCUCAUGUUUGCCUUUUUCCCGAAAAUACUUGUUUAUCAUCAAGCCUGAUAUUUAACGCGGGUAUACACUGAGCGGCAUCAACUUGGAUUGAUCGUGUACAUCAAUCAUAAAUGGACGCUCGGCUGCAGCGGACAGCUGUAUUGCCCCGAGCUUGAGAAUAACUGUUUGUGCGCUGUCCUUUUGGAAGCAUUGGCUGUGAGGGGCUGUGUUGAACAGCAGAGCGAGAAAACAUCCUCCAGCCUAACAGCCAUAAACAGGAUUGAUGUCUACAACCAAGACGUUUGACUUUAUCCAGCCGAGCUUGAGAGGGAUCAUUCGGCUUCAUUGAGCUGAACUGAGGUUUUUGAUGGAAUUGUUUUUUUCACACAAUAUUUUCUUUACCUGUUGGCAGCCAUUAUCACUGCAUGUAAUAUAACGGGGAAGACUGAAAGGCUGGGAGCCGGUUCUAUCAGCUCUAAGGCCAAACACCCUCCAGCUUUCAGUUUUUUUCUGUCGGCUAGUUUAAUCUUACUCACCUGCACAUUUUUCUUGCAAUGUUUUAGGAGUUUUUAUCUUGAACUGGGAUAAGAUAUCAUAAAAACAAAUGGAAAGGGUGUCUGAAUAUGAAUUUGAUGUACCUGAAGCUAAAGUUUAAAAUGCAUCUCAGUGGAAGUUCUUAAACAAAAACUUUUUAAUAUUCUUAUUUCGUUGGGUUUAUUCUUUUUCUCCCCCAGUAAAGGGACUGAUGAAUUGUGAUCUGUCCAGCUACAGGCAGGCCAGGCUGAGUUGUUUGUAGCAGGAUUGCAAUGGCUCAGUUUUUCUUUUUCUGUGAUUACUGUUUAGAUGAAAAGAGUAGAAAACUUGGAAGAAAAAGAGGAGAAUGAUGUGGUUAAAGUCGACCACUUUGAGGACUUCAGCCCUCCAAAAAAAGUAGAUUUUGUGGCAAUUCUGAGAGGGGUAGAAAAGGGAAAGGGGUUGAGAGUUGGGGAAGAUGUGACAAAGGAUCGUCGGGAUAGGGUUAGCCAAGUAUGUGAGUUAAUGCCGAAGCUAAACCAGGACUCUACCAGGGGCUUUAAGUUUCUGACAGUUUCAUGUGCAGCGAAUUGCACGGGUCAUUUUGAAAGCUGUGAAUGUGAGCAUUAUUAACUCCUGAGAUUGUGAACCAUAGACUACAAUCCAGGUGGACUUGAGAGGUAUUUCGAGUUGCAGACAGUUCACUUUGCAUGGAGUUUCACAGUAACUGAAGUUAGAAUUAGAGCACCUCGCAUAACUCGGCACAGCUAACACUGCUUGUGAUUCAGUCUUAGUCCAAGGCGCUGUUGAUCGUAGCUGCAAGGACAAUUUUAAGGAUUUUUAUAAACGAAUCAGGACGGAUUCCAGUGGGUAUUAAACAUUUUUGGUUAGCCGGUUAGCUUUCCAAAAUUGAAAAUAAUUCAUUUGUGUUUUUUUUUGCUCAGUAUCUCUUCAUCUUAGAGGAUGUAAAAACCAUCACAGCCAAGUUACCUUUUACAAAGCAGAUGUCCCUGUGUAUUUUGGUGUUCAAACCUAAACCUUCAGCCAGAUAUUUAGCCGACAAGUUACAGUUGCGUGUGUUUCUAAGUUUUCUUAUCUGCUCGUGAAUGUUUUGUUGGUAAAACAUACUCAAAUGUGGUUUUCCUGGAUAUAAACAACAUACCUGAGAGUGAAAUACAUUAAUUCCUUUUCAGCCAUUGACUUCUCAACAGACAACCCAAUAACGGUUUAAAAUGGACUUUUAAAAUGCAUUAACAUCACACAACCUGAUCCAGAAUCAAUCAGACCAACACAUUAAUGUAAGAGGCUACUUAAGACAAUAACAUUUGAUAGCUGUUUGCCCCUAACCCUACAUUGAAAAUGUAAUGAAAAUCCACCUCCUGUAACUUCCUGAGGCUCUACACAAAGGACGCUGUAAAGAUGGAGCCGAGCUGACAGCAGAGAGAAAGAGAGAUGAUGGGAAAACCCAACAAUAUAUGAAUAUCAAAUAUCUGAGAAGGAUUACGGCAAUCCUUCACUUUCAUCACAGGUUUACUUUAAAAACUGUGUGUUUAGAGAGACUAGACAAAUCCCCCAGACUGAAAGGUUCAAUAAAUUUUGGAUCAGGAAAGAGAGAAAAUAAAUCUGCCUCACAUGCUGCACUCACAUCAAAGAUUAACGAUGCUUAUAAUAUCUGAGGUGUAAAUAGAUAUUUAACUCCAUCCUAGUGUUGUUGUAUUUGUUUAACACUGUGCUGGGGGGUGUUAGCGUCCUCAAACAUGUGAACAUAAUGAGGAAACACUGUUUGCAUCAUAGCUUACAGCUGGUCUCAUAUUCUCGUGGCCUCGUGUUCCCUGGUAGCUGCUCAAAAUGCAUUGCAUUCUGGGGACCUAUUGUCUCUCAUGAGAUGGCUGUCCAUGCCAUUACAGGACCACCACCAUGGCGUGAAACAGUCCGCGACAGACACUGGAUCGUAAAUGCGGUCUUUUAUUUUCUCCAGACUGACGGCCAUCUGCAUUUAGAGAAAUGGCCCAAAAAUCUCCCAUUAAUGCUUUUUCGGGUCUUCUGCGGUGAGCGCUUUUUACACCGACUUCCUCUUCCAUCGGCUUUGUCUAAAAUUACUUUUCUGCUUUUCUUUAUGAAGAUGCAACCACCAUAACAAUACGGCCAUUUAAACCUGGCACAUGACUGUAAAAUAUUUUUGUCUGUAUGUAAUUUGGAAUCCAAAAGACAUAUUCAUUUUAGCGGAUGUAUAAACCCAAUCCCAAAGACGCUGGAACGUUUUGCAAAAUGUUAAUAGAAAAGGAAUUUGUUGGCUGGCAAAUCUUUUAAACCCUGUGUUUAACUGAAAAUAGUGCAAAGGCAGCAUAUGAAAUAUUGGGACUACAUCCUUUUAUUGCUUUGUGAGAAACAGUGUGCUCAUUUUUAAUUUGAUCAUGAAGAGCUUCCAAAGAGGUUUGGACAGGAACAGCAAAGCGCUGAAUGAGAUGUUUGAGAGACUACAUAAGCAAAUAGUUAAGCAUAACAUCGCAAAGAGUUUGUGGAUUUUAUCAUCUACACCACAUUACAAUGUGAAAAGAUUUAGAGGAUCUAGAGAAAUCUCUGUAUAAAAGGGACAAGGCCAAAUAACAGGCAGCAUAGGAAUAAAAAAAAGACUUACUCUGUCGUGGAAUUUACUACAAGACCUCAAAAUCACUUCUAAGAACCUUUAUCUGUGAAUACAGCUUAGUACUGCAUCCACAAAUGAAGACUAGAGGAGUACCAUCUACAAAAGGAACCUAUAUACUUCUACAAUCUGCCAAACUACAAUUUUAUAUUCCUUUUGAAAAACAAGGAUGCUGUGUUUUAAGGCUGGAGUCCUUUUGCAUGUUUGUUUCCCAGCUGCAACCAUAGACUCUAUGUACUAUGGACAACUUGGCUCCGCCUUCUGUCGUUAUGUGAAUUUGAAGCCAAAUUGCUCUCGGUAUUCCAGGAUUGUCUCCACUUCCUGGAACCACCACUUGCACAGUAGUGUUGAAUGCAUUUGGCAGUAGAGUCACUGAGAGUCACUAUGAUGACGCUCGGCUCAAACAGUGACUCCCCCUGCUGAACUACGCAAUCUUCAUACGGCCGUAGACUGUAUCAAGUGUCAAUCAUAGAAAACAUGAACCCCCUAAUAACUUUAAAAACUGAGCUGCACAGAAAAAAGAGGACUUGAGCACAAACCAGUCUUACUGUAACUACAUGUCAACAUUGCAAGCAGGGGGCCUCCUUAAUAUAGUAGUGCUAAACUGUCCUGCCUAUUGAGAGACUACAAAUAUGAAAUCCAUAAUAGAAACUUCUUUGUUUAAGCUGACUGUGUUCUUUGAUAAAUGCUUGUUAAUUCAUGCAUCAAUCCCUCCAUCAAACUUCAAAUACCAAGAGCACAUAUCUGCCAAAAAUAAUACAGUACACAGAUAGUAGAUUCUAAGUGAUGCAUGUUAUGCCAUUCAUGAGGAAAAACUAUUUUCCUGAAUAAUCCGAUGAUUUUAUCACCUCAGCAUCCUGAUUUUUGUCUUUCUAUAGAGAUCUUAUCAGUGUCAGCACACAAACACUGAUCUGAAAUGAGACUUUACUAUGAUCUAACAGUCAGCUCUGCAGACUGAAACGUGUCUGCUGUUUGUGGUGAGACGGGUGCAAAGGUUUGGCCAGGGUCCCAAUCGAUUUCCAUCUUUAUAUGCGACAUUUAUGCAGCCCGUGUUAUAAUGUGCAGCCUCUGUCUGGCUCAGUUUCCUCUCUAUCAGGCACACUGUGCUGCUCCCGCUGCUUCUGCUAGAGUGUGCAUGGAAAUGAGCUUGUGGUAUAAUCCGAGGCGGUAUCGGCACACAUCCUACACUCAGACAUCUCCCAGUCGCUGCUUAUCCACAGACUUUGGUUAAGCUACCUGCCACACUUCUUCAGCACCCAUUCAGGACUUGGAAAAAAAAGAACUGGGGUGAACUUUUUAUCCUACGACUGAAUUCUAAAUACAUAAUUAACCCAUAUUCAGUUGUGCUGCUCCAUCAUAUUAUUCCCAGGAACUGCAUGAAGCAUUAGGAAAAACUUUCCGCUUUCUUUUACUUAUUACUGGGCCACAGGAGCGUGGAUUUAUUCAACUGCAAAUAUUAUACAGCCGCUGUUCAAAUAUGUUUCCAGAUGAAGCAUAGGAGCAUUUUUGGAGAACGAGGGCACACAAACUUUGGGAGUUAAAAGCAGAAAGUGAAAUAAAGUAAGAGAGAGCGCGGCCCUGUUCCCGGAAAAAUAAAAAAAAAAGCAUUUGCAAAGAUGAGUCUGCUGGAUAAUAUACCUGCAGUGUUUGCCAGAGCCUUUGCAUACGUUCAACACAUCAUCCAACGCUUUAACACGUCGCCUCCUCAUCUGAUUGUCUCAUUACCUCAUUUAAGUCUCACUCAGGACCCCACAAACAAAACAUAACAAGCGUCUCAGUCAUUUAAUCGCCAUUAGUGCUGUGGAUAAAUAGAUCCUGGAGGAGGUAUAAGAAUAAAAUGCUACAGUACAUCAUGGAGUAAAUGUUAUCAAUUUCUGUAGGAGCAGUUUAACUUGGCUGAUUCCACGUCCUGGGUGAAUACUUGAUUGUAAUCAAAACUGCCUUAUCUAAUCACUGCAUUACAGAUUAAACCAAGUUAUCACAAACAAGGCUUCCAGUGUAGAGGCUUGAAAUUCCCACCAUGUCCCCAGCUGUGGGUAUUUUGUUGCGUGCAACAAAAUGCAAUCAAUGCAAGACUGUGACAAGCAGAUUUGAAGAGAUGAUCAAUGGAAAUCUUUGCUGCUAAUGAGGCAAAUGCUGCUUUCUGGGGGGUUUUCUGGGAGACUUUUCCAAAAUCUCGCUGAGAUAAACUUCUCACUUAAAGCGAUUUAUGCUUAUAAAUAAUGAAACAUUUAUUGGAUGAGUCCCACUUUGGGAGAGAGAAUUCAAAAUUGGCCUUUUUGCACAAGCACAAGAUCCACCGCUGCAGUACUUCAUGUUCUGCAGGUUGAGUGAGUGAUAGCAGCAGGUAGAUUCACAGAUCAUGCAGACAUGCAGAGGCAAUCAUACCUCUAAUGCACACUGACAUGUUUACUCUUAAGAAACAUGAGUGCUUAAGCUGCAGCUCCCAUCACUAAAGCUCUGGGAAGGAGAGAGAAUACCCUCAACAGUCACAUUUACGCUAAAUUUAAGCAUAGUGGCUGUUUGCACUUAACACGAAAGAGAAGUGCAUGUUUGUAAUGACUCAACACUAAAGCAUCACCAUGCCCUCUAACAGAUAAAGAGCAAAACAAAUAAUUGAGUCAGCAUUUUCUGCCGUGCAUCAUUUGCUGAAAGGAUGAUGAAUAAUUAAGAGGAGCUCCAUUUAAUGGGGGAGAAUGCCAGUGAAACGUCUACCCAAAUAACCACAGAAAUUUAUACCCUACAUUAAUAUAUAUUGGAAAAUGGAGUAGAAGACAUUAAUAUAGAUUGGUAUUUUCUAUGUGGGUCAGUUUAACUGGUCAAAUGUCAUUAAUGUAACCUACAUUUAUGAACAUGGCUGUCUGAAUUGGAGACGGCUCCCUGAGUUUAGUAAGGUCACAGUCAGGAGGACUCUGCAGAGUUAUGAUGGUCUGAUAAUGGAAGAAGUUACAGAAGAGAUUCAGGUUUUAGCUGCAAAUGACAGCUCUGUGCAAACUUCACAAAACUUAAAAGUGCUUUGUUGCUGCUGCUAAUGAGCUCAUGUGGUGUUUCACUGCUCUGUCAUUGUUUGUGAUCUCUCCUGUUUCCUCUUCUCUUCAAAGAAACCAAACAUGUUGGACGUUUACAAAAAUAUACAUCAGGAUCAGCUUCGGAGCUCUGUGUUUGAGGAACUCUCGGGUUGUGAUUUUGGUGACGCCUGAGCAAAGCAGGACAAAACAGAG